Molecule: ribosomal RNA, 596 nt
Filed under: Ditylum brightwellii
Lineage: Eukaryota; Bacillariophyta; Thalassiosirophyceae; Lithodesmiales; Lithodesmiaceae
Description: partial Bacterial small subunit ribosomal RNA
Rfam family: Bacterial small subunit ribosomal RNA
Source: RNAcentral
GAGGCAGCAGUGGGGAAUAUUGGACAAUGGGCGAAAGCCUGAUCCAGCAAUACCGCGUGUGUGAAGAAGGCCUUCGGGUUGUAAAGCACUUUAAGUUGGGAAGAAAAAACUUCAAUUAAUACUUGAAGUCUUGACGGUACCGACAGAAUAAGCACCGGCUAACUCUGUGCCAGCAGCCGCGGUAAUACAGAGGGUGCUAGCGUUAAUCGGAUUUACUGGGCGUAAAGCGUGCGUAGGCGGCUUUUUAAGUCGGUGUGAAAUCCCUGAGCUUAACUUAGGAAUUGCAUUCGAUACUGGGAAGCUAGAGUAUGGGAGAGGAUGGUAGAAUUCCAGGUGUAGCGGUGAAAUGCGUAGAGAUCUGGAGGAAUACCGAUGGCGAAGGCAGCCAUCUGGCCUAAUACUGACGCUGAGGUACGAAAGCGUGGGGAGCAAACAGGAUUAGAUACCCUGGUAGUCCAUGCCGUAAACGAUGUCUACUAGCCGUUGGGGCCUUUGAGGCUUUAGUGGCGCAGCUAACGCGAUAAGUAGACCGCCUGGGGAGUACGGCCGCAAGGUUAAAACUCAAAUGAAUUGACGGGGGCCCGCACAAGCGGUGG